This 482-nucleotide ribosomal RNA is filed under the name uncultured bacterium. Its description in RNAcentral is "bacterial SSU rRNA". It matches the Rfam family "Bacterial small subunit ribosomal RNA", at positions 30 to 506 of the family's 1533-position model. The record is from RNAcentral.
UUGAACGCUGGCGGAAUGCUUUACACAUGCAAGUCGGGCGGCAGCGCGGGGGCAACCCUGGCGGCGAGCGGCGAACGGGUGAGUAACAUAUCGGAACGUACCCAGACGUGGGGGACAACUAGUCGAAAGACUAGCUAAUACCGCAUACGUCCUGAGGGAGAAAGCGGGGGAUCGCAAGACCUCGCGCGUUUGGAGCGGCCGAUAUCUGAUUAGCUAGAUGGUGGGGUAAAGGCCCACCAUGGCGACGAUCAGUAGCUGGUCUGAGAGGAUGAUCAGCCACACUGGAACUGAGACACGGUCCAGACUCCUACGGGAGGCAGCAGUGGGGAAUUUUGGACAAUGGGGGAAACCCUGAUCCAGCCAUUCCGCGUGAGUGAAGAAGGCCUUCGGGUUGUAAAGCUCUUUCAGACGGAAAGAAAUCGUGCAGAUUAAUACUCUGUAUGGAUGACGGUACCGUAAGAAGAAGCACCGGCUAACUACGU